This 1343-nucleotide ribosomal RNA is filed under the name uncultured bacterium. RNAcentral's name for it is "bacterial SSU rRNA". It matches the Rfam family "Bacterial small subunit ribosomal RNA", at positions 28 to 1381 of the family's 1533-position model. The record is from RNAcentral.
GAUGAAUGCUGGCGGCGUGCUUAACACAUGCAAGUCGAACGAUGAAGCCCAGCUUGCUGGGCGGAUUAGUGGCGAACGGGUGAGUAACACGUGAGUAACCUGCCCUUGACUCUGGGAUAAGCCCGGGAAACUGGGUCUAAUACCGGAUAGGAGCGCCUGUCGCAUGACGGGUGCUGGAAAGAUCUUUCGGUCAUGGAUGGACUCGCGGCCUAUCAGCUUGUUGGUGAGGUAAUGGCUCACCAAGGCGACGACGGGUAGCCGGCCUGAGAGGGUGACCGGCCACACUGGGACUGAGACACGGCCCAGACUCCUACGGGAGGCAGCAGUGGGGAAUAUUGCACAAUGGGCGGAAGCCUGAUGCAGCGACGCCGCGUGAGGGAUGACGGCCUUCGGGUUGUAAACCUCUUUCAGUAGGGAAGAAGCGAAAGUGACGGUACCUGCAGAAGAAGCACCGGCUAACUACGUGCCAGCAGCCGCGGUAAUACGUAGGGUGCGAGCGUUAUCCGGAAUUAUUGGGCGUAAAGAGCUCGUAGGCGGUUUGUCGCGUCUGUCGUGAAAGUCCGGGGCUUAACCCCGGAUCUGCGGUGGGUACGGGCAGACUAGAGUGCAGUAGGGGAGACUGGAAUUCCUGGUGUAGCGGUGGAAUGCGCAGAUAUCAGGAGGAACACCGAUGGCGAAGGCAGGUCUCUGGGCUGUAACUGACGCUGAGGAGCGAAAGCAUGGGGAGCGAACAGGAUUAGAUACCCUGGUAGUCCAUGCCGUAAACGUUGGGCACUAGGCGUGGGGACCAUUCCACGGUUUCCGCGCCGCAGCUAACGCAUUAAGUGCCCCGCCUGGGGAGUACGGCCGCAAGGCUAAAACUCAAAGGAAUUGACGGGGGCCCGCACAAGCGGCGGAGCAUGCGGAUUAAUUCGAUGCAACGCGAAGAACCUUACCAAGGCUUGACAUGUUUUCGAUCGCCGUGGAGACACGGUUUCCCCUUUGGGGCGGAUUCACAGGUGGUGCAUGGUUGUCGUCAGCUCGUGUCGUGAGAUGUUGGGUUAAGUCCCGCAACGAGCGCAACCCUCGUUCCAUGUUGCCAGCACGUUGUGGUGGGGACUCAUGGGAGACUGCCGGGGUCAACUCGGAGGAAGGUGAGGACGACGUCAAAUCAUCAUGCCCCUUAUGUCUUGGGCUUCACGCAUGCUACAAUGGCCGGUACAAUGGGUUGCGAUACUGUGAGGUGGAGCUAAUCCCAAAAAGCCGGUCUCAGUUCGGAUUGGGGUCUGCAACUCGACCCCAUGAAGUCGGAGUCGCUAGUAAUCGCAGAUCAGCAACGCUGCGGUGAAUACGUUCCCGGGCCU